ACGGGGUGCAGCAGGCGCGAAAACUUGGCAAUGCGGGAAACCGCGACCAGGGGAUUCCAAGUGCAUGCACUUUGUGUAUGCUGUUCCAUUGCCUUAAAAGCAUAGGAAGUAAGAGCUGGGAAAGACAGGUGCCAGCCGCCGCGGUAAUACCUGCAGCUCGAGUGGUGGCCGAUUUUAUUGAGCCUAAAGCGUCCGUAGCCGGUCUAGUAAAUUCUUGGGUAAAUUGAGCAGCUUAACUGUUCGAAUUCCGAGGAGACUGCUAGACUUGGGACCGGGAGAGGUCAGAGGUACUCCAGGGGUAGGGGCUAAAGUUUAAAUGCGUGAUUAUCACGCAUUUAAAAUAGCAUUCCUGUAAUCCUUGGGGGACCACCAGUGGCGAAGGCGUCUGACUAGAACGGAUCCGACGGUAAGGGACGAAACCCUGGGUCGCAAACCGGAUUAGAUACCCGGGUAGUCCAGGGCGUAAACGCUGCAGGCUUGGUGUUGGGGACCCUACGAGGGUGCCCAGUGCCGGAGAGAAGUUGUUAAGCCUGCCGCUUGGGAGUACGUCCGCAAGG
This 557-nucleotide ribosomal RNA is filed under the name uncultured archaeon. RNAcentral's name for it is "partial 16S rRNA". It matches the Rfam family "Archaeal small subunit ribosomal RNA", at positions 325 to 848 of the family's 1478-position model. The record is from RNAcentral.